GCAAACUUGGUCAUUUAGAGGAAGUAAAAGUCGUAACAAGGUCUCCGUUGGUGAACCAGCGGAGGGAUCAUUACCGGGAAUUCGUCGAAAGACGUAUCCUAAAACCAAAUUGUGAACUUUACCCAUCCGUCGUGCUUCGGCAGGCGGGCUCUAUCCUCCUGACGGAGGUGUGCCCCCUAUGGCCUCAUCUCGAGGUGCCUGCCGGAGUAUGGCAACCCUUUUAAAUACUCAAUUGACAUCUCAAAAUUCAUAUAAAACCAAAAGAAUAAAUUGUAACAACUUUCAACAAUGGAUCUCUUGGCUCUGGCAUCGAUGAAGAACGCAGC
This 326-nucleotide unclassified non-coding RNA is filed under the name uncultured fungus. RNAcentral's name for it is "partial contains small subunit ribosomal RNA, internal transcribed spacer 1, and 5.8S ribosomal RNA". The stretch from base 1 to 73 matches the Rfam family "Eukaryotic small subunit ribosomal RNA", at positions 1759 to 1831 of the family's 1831-position model. The record is from RNAcentral. Lineage: Eukaryota; Fungi.